AUUCAGUAUUUAUCACGCUUGGGUAUUUGCUGUUGCCUUAGUGUGCUAGAGCCCUCGACAAGCAACUGCUACCCUUAUUCACUGACUGUGGGCCCCGCUACCCUUAUUCACUGACUGUGGGCCCCUGAGGCACAGUCAGUCACCAGGCUAGUGACACCA
This 159-nucleotide small nucleolar RNA is filed under the name Myotis davidii. Its description in RNAcentral is "Small nucleolar RNA SNORA3/SNORA45 family". It matches the Rfam family "Small nucleolar RNA SNORA3/SNORA45 family". Rfam says of the family: The members of this family belong to the H/ACA class of snoRNAs which are thought to guide the sites of modification of uridines to pseudouridines. This family includes mouse snoMBI-28 and human homologues ACA3 (SNORA3) and ACA3-2 (SNORA45). Both ACA3 and ACA3-2 share the same host gene. The record is from Rfam by way of RNAcentral. Lineage: Eukaryota; Metazoa; Chordata; Mammalia; Chiroptera; Vespertilionidae.